CAACAGCGUAUAUUAAAGUUGCUGCAGUUAAAACGCUCGUAGUUGUUGUCCAACUAUAUGCUACACUCCUUCAGGAGCGGUGGCUCAAUAGUUUCGCGGACUUCGCAGUCCGCCAAAACCUUGAGGAAAGAUUAGCGUUCCAAGCAAUAGUCGUUUGCCCUCUCCAGCAUGGUAUAUAGCCAAACCGGUGAAGAUGCUUGCCACGUCUUCGCAUUGCAAAAUAGAAAUUCAAGGGGAUGUGCGUACUUCAAUGUCAGAGGUGAAAUUCCUGGAUUAUUGAAAGACGGUCAAUUGCGAAAGCAUUCGUCAAACGACUUUUCUUUGA
RNAcentral lists this ribosomal RNA (325 nucleotides) under uncultured eukaryote. RNAcentral's name for it is "partial 18S ribosomal RNA". It matches the Rfam family "Eukaryotic small subunit ribosomal RNA", at positions 592 to 976 of the family's 1831-position model. The record is from RNAcentral.